AUCUAUAUAGUUUAAUGGUAAAACAUUACAUUUUCAGUGUAAAGUUAGAUAACAAUCUUAUAGAUU
RNAcentral lists this transfer RNA (66 nucleotides) under Anaplecta omei. RNAcentral's name for it is "tRNA-Glu". It matches the Rfam family "tRNA". From Rfam's summary of the family: Transfer RNA (tRNA) molecules are approximately 80 nucleotides in length. Lineage: Eukaryota; Metazoa; Arthropoda; Insecta; Blattodea; Anaplectidae. The record is from RNAcentral.